Molecule: transfer RNA, 165 nt
Filed under: Lysobacterales bacterium
Lineage: Bacteria; Pseudomonadati; Pseudomonadota; Gammaproteobacteria; Lysobacterales
Description: tRNA-Tyr
Source: RNAcentral
GGAGGGAUACCCAAGCGGCCAACGGGGGCAGACUGUAAAUCUGCUGGCUUACGCCUUCGGUGGUUCGACUAGGUUCGCCGGGAGCGAACCUGAACGCGACGCGAAGCGGCGCGGCCCCGAAGGGGCGAAGGGCAGGAUGCCCUGAGUCAUCCACCUCCCGGGCCA